ACCUAUCAAAGAAAACCAACAAGAAAAAACCCACGAGCGAGGCAACGCACACCCUCCCUCCGCAAACCCUAGCCGCCGCACGAGGGAAGAGAUGAGGGACAGCACGUUGCGCCCAGACGUCUCCGCCGCCGGCCUCUCUACACUCCGCUCCACAGUCCCCACCUCCUCCGGUCCUCCCGCAUGGCCGCUCCUCCGCGACGACACCAACCGUCCAGAAGCGGAGUCGCCGCCUCGACCCGGGGUCCCCCCGUCCCCGUUGUGCUCGGCGCCACGCCCAUCCCGAGGCACCACCCGCUCGUUGUCGGCUCGCCCGAGCCUGCCAAGAAGUCCGCCGUGCCGCGGAGGGGCUCCUGGGCCGAGAAGCAUAGCGGCGCCGGCUAUGCCGGGGUGAUUGCAUCACCCAAGGUUGUCAGGCCCAUCGCGCUCAACUUCGAGGAGAGGACGCCCGUCAAGGGGCGGCCCUCGCCAGCGCAGAGCUCGGCGUCGAGGAGAGGUCCAUCGCCGCUGAUGAAUAUCGCGAGCGAGCGAGCCAGCGGCCGUGCGUGCAUCGGGACACGCAGCAAGGAGGAUGAUCUACUACCCUACGGAAGGGAAGGAAGAGGCCGCCGGCGAGCGAGGCACGGCCACGGCGUUGGACUCACCGGGGACGUCUGCUCCUCCCGAGGUAACCAACCCCUCCGAUCCUCUUCUUCCCCCAAUUCUAUUUGCAUCUGCGUGCGUACGCAACUUCAGUUCUGUACAUACAUAUUCAGUUCAAACUGAAUCCCAACCCCAACCCGUUGGCUGAAGCUUCAGUUUUGUACAUGCAUAUUCAGUUCAAACUGAACCCCAACCCAACCCAUUGGCUGAAGCAUUUACAUGCCUAUGUAAACCUGGGAAAUGGGAAUGCUCCAAAACCCAAAUUAAAUCAAAUCCAAACUGCAAUAUACCACCCGUCCGUCAAGUAAAAUCCACCAAACCAACCCACUCCAAUCCAUGACCGACAAUACCAACCCAACCAUCUCAAAGUUUUGGUUUUGGACUACUACUACUGAACCCAAUUUCCAAUCUUAACCUACCCAUCAGUCGCACAUUAAGCUCUGUACCUAUGUUCAGUUUGAUCAACCGAUUAGCAAAUCAGUGAGGGCAGGUUCCAAUUUUUACUAGACGGGAAAGCAUGCCACGCUGUAGGUUUGAUCGCUCUACGGUUGGAUGACAAACAUGGAGGAAACCCUGCUGUCGUGCAUGCGCUCCUCUGCGCUUGGUGACCAAUACAUCUGCUCCAUCGUGAACAUUUGCUUCGUGUCAAACAGGUAGCCGCCAAGGGUGAGCUCGUGCAGCGGUUUAGGUAUAGAUGUGCAUCCCAUAAGGGAAGCUACUGUUUCUUUCAUAAAACUAUUUGUUGUUAGUGCAUUGUAUAUUGAAGUAAACUGGAUGGGCUUAUCUUGAGUUCUCCAUCAAGUUAUAUUACUUCGACAGGAAAAAGUGCAGAAAGACCAUAUAAAGUACUCUGGUGAGUCUCUCAAUUGAACUAGAUUUUUUUUAGGUGCGUGAAACAUGCACAAUGAUUUGCUCUGUUGAGUGUAAGUUGAACUAGCACUUGAAUUAUAGCUCAUGCCGGUAUGCUAAUUUUCUCUUUCUCAUAUCAGCUCUCCUUUUUGUCCAUUUUUGUUCACUACUACCUGAAGGAAACUGUACUGGAUAGCAGCAGUAGAAACUGUACUAUGGAAGGGAGGGUGAGCGAUUCUGGGAAAUUCCUUGUGGCCGUGAAAGGCCGGAAUGACAUACUGAUUGUAGUGCAAUGAGCGGGCAUUAUUUAGGCCAAGUGUUUAAUAUUCAAUAUUUUAUCUUUCCACAUCACGCGAAUGAGCUCGCGCAAAGCCGAGUAGCGAAUCCUGAGAGUGAGGUCAAAUGCUGGAUGCAUAUGGGUUUUGUCAACGACAAUGGCCAAAAGGCGGCAAAAGUAGACAAAAACUUCUUCACUAUCAAAUAUAAACUAGAGCAAUAGUCCAGCAGAAAAGGAAGCAGCCAGAGAAGAAGCAACAGUAGGAAAAGAAACAGUCCGAGGUUUAGUGGCGCAUUCUCCAGUGCUCUGCAGCUUCUUCGCCAUUAUUGAUGGGUCAUAUAAAAACUUAUGGAUUUGGAUGAUGCUUCAAAAAUGUCGACUGACAUGACAUAGGCACUGACGUAGAGAUGAUGGGCCGCAAAAGAUUUAUUUAUAUAUAUGUUUAAUUUCCAGUGGAUGGGUAAAUUUAUUCUUGUUAUUACUAUAUUGAAGGUAAUAUUAAGUUAUUCAAUUGCAGAUGUGUCUGGCUAUUUUAUUUCUGAUUUUAUGCCCUUGUGAAAAGGUAAAGAAUUGCUUCCUUUGAUUUGCACGAUGAGUAUUCUCCGUUGCACAUUCUUAGACCUUCCUUGUGAAACAUUCAUGCUAACUACAUAUAUUGCUUCUGUAGGAUGAUUAUUACCAUGGGAAUGAAGCUAAAAAAAUCAUUAUUGAUAUUGUGUGAGAAAAUCUUAAGCGCAUCAAGUAGAAAUCUUAAUUCGUAACAAAGUAUUAGUGCGGUCAUGGUUUUCUAUGUACAUAUCAUCAAAUUAUAUUUUUUUCAUCAACUUACAUUUCAAGUGAAGUGGAUUUCAAUUAUUACCCGAUUUUUACUGGCUAUCUUUUGUAUGUAUGUGAAGUUUAAGAUGCAUUAUGUUAUAUUAUAUAUACAACUUCAGUAGAAGAUUUCAAAUGCCCGUGGCAAUGCACGGCCAUUCUACUAGAUACAGACUCUCUCAAUUGUGUAGAUAGGUCAUCAAGUAACGGUUAGCAGUUCAUGCUUCUACUUCACCUUUUAGUUAAUUAUCCGCUUUUAAGUAUUUGUUGCCGAAGUGAGCAUCAGAUUGCAGGAAUUUUGUAAUUCAUCAGUAGAAUUAUCCGCUUCAUUCGCUUUUGUUAUAACGCACUGGCAUUUUGUAACGUCUUGUCGAAGUGAGCAUUUUAUAGAGAUUAUCCGAUUUUAAGUAUUUUAUUUAAUGUGUCUAUCUCCGGUUGUGAUCCUAGAAGGCAGUAAAUGUGCACUUGUGUUUUGCUAAUGCAACAGAGUAUCUAUGAGAUUAGUAAUUCUCUGUAUAACAUGGAAAUUCUUCACAACUGUAAUUUUGAAUGAAGCUAUUUUCUGAUAUUUGGAUCUUGCCAAAAAUGAACAUGAGUGAUAUAACCCAUAUAACAAAACAGAUGAGAGUUCUCUUUGCAAGUUGCACUGCAAAGAUUGCUUUUUAGUGAAGUUAUCCUUGGCGGUGUACAACUUAGAACUUGAUUGAUACUUUUCAUUUUACAUUGAUGUGCUCUCCAGUGAGAACAUUUUUUUGACUGAACGUGUUUCAUUAGAUAUGCCCUUUUAUUUUGUGGGAAGUUGUUCAGACUUUUAUCUGAUUAUUUAUUUCAGUUGUGUAAAAAUGGAGUAUGAGUAAUGCUUGGUUCCAUGCAAGACGAAGGGAGGAAGACAAGAAAAUUAUAUCAAUUUAGUUCAUGGUCUAGGAGCAAGGAAAGUACACAUCCAUCUUUGUGAUAUUGAUAGGCAUAAUACUACAUACAGACUCUCUCAAUUGUGUAGAUAGGUCAUCAAGUAACGGUUAGCAGUUCAUGCUUCUGCUUCACCUUUUAGUUAAUUAUCCGCUUUUAAGUAUUUGUUGCCGAAGUGAGCAUCAAAUUGCAGGAAUUUUAUAAUUCAUCAGUAGAAUUAUCCGCUUCAUUCGCUUUUGUUAUAACGCACGGGCAUUUUGUAACAUCUUGCCGAAGUGCGCAUUUUGUAGAGAUUAUCCGCUUUUAAGUAUUUUAUUUAAUGUGUCUAUCUCCGGUUGUGAUCCUAGAAGGCAGUAAAUGUGCACUUGUGUUUUGCUAAUGCAACAGAGUAUCUAUGAGAUUAGUAAUUCUCUGUAUAACAUGGAAAUUCUUCAGAACUGUAAUUUUGAAUGAAGCUAUUUUCUGAUAUUUGAAUCUUGCCAAAAAUGAACAUGAGUGAUAUAACCCAUAUAACAAAACAGAUGAUAGUUGCGUUUACAAGUUGCACUGCAAAGAUUGCUUUUUAGUGAAGUUAUCCUUGGCGGUGUUAGAUAAGUAUUAAUGUGACUGUUUACUUGGUUAAGAUUACAUUCACGUUAUUUCUUCUAACCUUCUAAUCUCUAUACAAUGCUAGCUACAGCUUGGGACAACUGCUAGAAGAAUGAACGGUUGAUUCCUCUACAGCAACGCCUGAGGUCAGGUUCUAUGCGAGUGCAGCAGUGCUGGCGGUGUCGGACAUGGUUGUAGCAUGUGCACUUGCCGAGGGUCGAUGAGGCUUUGAUGAUGGCGCUAGCAAAGAAGGCAUGGAGCAAAUGGAGACGGGGUUCCUUUGUGACAACGUAUGGGAGGCUGAUGGGUUCCCUUGGAAGUUGGAACAAUGCGAUGUUGCCAAGACAGCACACUAGGUUCCAAUUCCAGUUGGACGUAUAGUAUUGUUGUUUGCUGACUGCCGGGCCUUCCAUCAGAUGUUGUGCACAGAUAAUUUUGGGGGAAGUCUUACCGUCCCUAUUUCAUAGAAAAAAAUCCAGGUAUGUUAUUUUCUGUAUUUUCAAAAAAAUGACAAUGAUAGGAAGCUUAGAAGUCGUGUGUCAUGCUUUGGAAAUAAAACUUACAACCCCCAUAGUUCAGAAUUGUACUGAACUUUGUGUGUCAUGUAUUUAUAACCGCAUUUGUUUCUCAAGCUUUAGUUAUUAAACUUUUCUCUAAAAUUGCAGAGUUCCAGUUCUGAAUACUAAACUUUGCUUUGCAUGUGUUAAUCUUAAAAAAACACAAAUUUGAGAAAUAUCAAAUGGAAGUUCACAACUAAUAGAAAAGUUUAGCUCUUAAAAGAUGGUAGGGAUUUCAAAAGUUUUAGCUUCAUCUUUUGUUAUUACACCAUAUGUUAUGUCAGUAAAUUGAGUUAUAUGAUGAGCAUGGUCUUAUCUGUUCAGGUUGCUGAGUUUUGGCCUUAAGGUGCAGCAUUGAUAAGGAAAUUAUGCAUCUUUUGAGGUUACUGAUAACCAUCUCAUGUCUAUCAAUAGUGCAUACAUUAUGGUUGAUAAAAAUAUCUUGCCAUGUCAAAUGCAUAAUGUUGUAAUUCCUCCAUUCCAUAAUGUAGUGCACCCGCGCUUUUUGAGAUAAAGUUUGACCAUAAAUUUAACCAGUUAAAUUUAUGGUCAAACUUAAAUCUCGAAAAGCGCUGACGCACUACAUUACGGAAUGGAGGGAGUAUAUGAUAAGUUUGGGUGUAGCUCUGUGUUAGUGCCAGUUGCUUAUUAUGCGCUUAACCUAUUGUAUCUUUUUACCACACAGAUUAAUUAAUUCAACCCGAGGAUAGACAUCCUCACUUCAGUUCAAAAUAAUCCAGAAGAAGUGUGAUUUCUAUUCCAUAUUCAUUGACUUUUCUAAGACCUAUUAGUAAAUUCAUUAGCUUCUUUAAUCCAGUGAUUCUGGGUAAACCGGCGAAGAAUAUGAAUAUUACGUAUGUAUAUUACCCCUUCUUCUAUCAUUUUUAUUAUUUUCAGAAUAUUCAUAAUGAAUGUUUUGAAUGGGUUAUAUAUAACGGCACUGAAUGAGGGUCUAGAGGCUAAAUUAUUGUUCAUCAAUUUCGAAAUUGCCCGGGUUGUAUAAGGAACCAUGCUGGGUAAGUUUACAUCCUAAUACUAUGCAAUAUUAAAUGACCCAUCACCUAAUAAAUACAUCAGAUGUGGUAUUAUAUAUAUAUAUGACUAGAGAGUUAUGUCCCAGACAAAUAGUGAAACAGAAUGCGUGCAUCAUUUAUAUUGGCAAAAAAAUGCAGAGCAUUUCAUUUGGCAUAGAAAAAGUCAACAACAAGUUGGGGAUUCUUCUUACUGAAAAAUAAAAAUAAAAGCAAGUUUGGGAUUCUUCUUUCUGAAAAAUAAAAAUAAAAGCAAGUUGGGGAGAGAGAGGGUCAAAUGGUUUCAUGUGGUUCCAGUAGUCGCCCGGACUGAUGGAAUUAGGGUUUUCGGGUAUAGGCAUCGUAGUGGCGGUGACGUCCACACUAAUCUUUUUGUGAACUUUUGCUGACGAUAAUCUUGGAAAAUCAAUAUUUUUUAGAUUUUUAAAUUUGUAAAUUAUGAUAUAUACAUGGUUGCAAUUCUCGUUAUUUUGAUACCCAUUAUUUGGUCCCACACCUGAAUAGAUGAGCAGGGGGUUGCAUGUAUGGACCUACUAAAUACGAAAUUCUAAAUUGCCUUUGGAAAAUAUGUAUGCCAAAUUUACAAUAUUGGGUGUUCGAAGAACCUCUAUUAUAUUAUAAGGGUGUCAAUUUUUGGUUCCCAUUGGAACGCAUGGGCGCUCUACUAGAAAAUGUGACAAAUUAUGUUUCAUUAGAGAUGGCUUUGCAGCGAAUUGCAUAAACGAGGAGUUCAUAAUUUUUUCAUCAAGUUGUACAAUUUUUUUGUUAGGAUAGAAGGGUAAAUGCAUUGGUUGGUUGUUUUAAGAGUUAAUAACGAACACGGUGGUGUAUCUAUUGCAUGCCCAACGGUUGAUAUUGUAUUUUGUUUCAUGGUAAUGCACGAUAUUCAAUAGUAUGAUACAAUGUGGCAAUGGCUCAGGAGACAUUAGAUCUGCCUUCUUGGCUCGGGGGUGGGGGGUGUCAUGAGCGGCGCAUGCCUUCUCCCCCUUUAUAGCAGUGGCGGAUCGGCACGAGCCCGAGUGGAGGGGAUCAGGGCGGAGAGCGGAGCGGUUGGCAGGGGACCUUUUGGCGGUCCAUGGGGAAGUAUGGUGUGAAAGAGAGAGGGCGCCACACCGAAGGUGAGGUGGGCGUCAUCCGGUUUUAAAGGAGAGGGCUCCAGCAAGAACUAUUUCACUAUGGCAGAAAAGUGGAGGGGGGGGGCAACAGGAAAAGAGAAGGGUGGGUUGUGUGGUGGUUUUUUUGUUGGGCCCCAUGUUGGAGAUUACAUGAAGGAUAGUUAGGACACCCGCAUUUCUCCCCCACAUAUGGGCUGGAUUUGGGGGAGUUUGAACUGAGAACGUUGAAUUUUGGGGAGUCUAUUGGGUGCUCGUUUGAUGUCGAACAUGCUUGGACGUAUGAGGGA
Long non-coding RNA from Triticum aestivum (bread wheat), 7065 nucleotides. RefSeq lists it as uncharacterized. The transcript is spliced from 5 exons. Lineage: Eukaryota; Viridiplantae; Streptophyta; Magnoliopsida; Poales; Poaceae. The record is from RefSeq and is a predicted model, not a curated record.